Phalacrocorax carbo (great cormorant) is the source of this 4494-nucleotide non-coding RNA. NCBI's taxonomy places the organism in Eukaryota, Metazoa, Chordata, Aves, Suliformes, Phalacrocoracidae. The record is from RefSeq and is a predicted model, not a curated record.
CAAGACUUUUUAAAUGCCUGGAGAGUUUGGAGAGGGUUUGGAAGGAAUAAACUUGCCAGAAACUUCUGGCAAGCACACUCCCUGCAACAGCCGGCAACAGGAUAUCCAAAUGGAUUUCUGGACACCAAGCUACAAAAAACACUCACGCCUUUAAGAGGGCCAACAAGAAUAUAUGAAAAUUUACCAUGUUCUUCAAUGGGUCUGAAGAAAUUCUUUAAUCAGAACAGAAGUUCCUACGAGACAUGUAAAUACGAUUUAUUUCUGCAUUGUUCUAAACAUGGCAGAACUAAUAUUUCCUAAACAUCAGUUUAAUAACAUCCUCCUCUCCUGCAAAUGUGUUCACAACUGAAGUCUGACAAAUAACUCCUCUGUUUCCACAAAGGCCACAGUUGUGAAGGAAGCAGCCAAUACUCAAAACAGCAGAGUCCAGCUCCAAAACAAUCUUCAAAUAUCAGGGGAUACACCUUGGACGAGAAGAAGUAUUUGCAGUGAGGGGAUUGGAAAUAUUAGGGUCAUUAAGGUCACUAUGAUCUCAAAACAGGGUAGGAAUCCAUAUUUUGGCUAUUUGCUGCAGUAAUCUGAAGAUAAAUCAUUUCAGAGACAGUUUCUUGAGAAACCAAAAAUCUGCCCCCAAUUUAACUUUUCUAUGGAUGUCCCUGUCAUAAAGUACACAGAUUUGCAACAGCUGGUCUUUAGAAAUUCAGAUAGGUGAACUCAUUUGAGAGGCUUGACCAGGGUGAGGAUGGGAUAAACUGCAGAGAGCAAUUCCAUUUUCACUCUUGGUAUCAGGCUAAGUUUUUGUAGUACCUGCUGCUAGAGACAUUAUCUACUCAUAACUCUUAGCUGAGAUACUGCAUACUCUCUGAAGCUAAACCUCCUCACAUGUCACUGUUCUAUUCAGUUUUUCACACUGUUAGUAAUGACAUCUGUAACUGGUACGUUGAAAGGCUUUCCAAAAAGAAACCAUUUUCCCCUAACUAGCAGAAACUACAAAAGGCAUGAACUACGGCACUACAGAAGGAAGAUACCAUAAUAAAAAGUAAUUACAUCCUGGAAUUAAGCCUGUCAUAUACAGCCAACUCUGACCAUAAGCAUCAGGAGGCUGAGAAAGUACAGUUUCUAGAGCGCUCCAGCUCCCCAGCACCAGUAAGAGCCUCCACAGAUGCUGACAAACCUGGACAUGCUCCUGCAAUGGUAAUUAAGCUUCAAGAUACUAAGGCAUCAAGUACAUAUUGUUUCUCUACAAAACUAGUCCCAGACAUAAACAACAGAAGAAACUGGCAGAGUAACAGAUAUUAGCCCUCACAUCCCUAAGGUGGCUCUUUUCACAACGAGAGGCACCCUCCACUUUUCUGCUAACAGAAAAGCAAAUUAAACACUGUCUGCAGUUCAAAAUCCAAAUGCUUUAAAAUAUUCUCAAACAGAUAAAUACAUCACAAUCUAUGUUAACAUGGGAUCAACCUUCACACUUGCUUUUGAAAAUAUUUUUUGUAAUUCAGAGAGAUUUUUAAUCUUUAUCUACUGAAUAAAAAAGGAAAAUGAGAAAGACUUUCUUCAGCAGUUUCACACGCCCAUCAGUACCACAACUUUAAAGAUCUAGUAUGCAAGAGAAAACAAAUCACCUGUGAUUGGCACACUACAUAACCUUUUAAUCUAUUUUUUUCCUGACAACAAUAUUUAAAAAUAUAAUCUUAAAAUAGACUAAGAAGAGUUUUGGUUCACUGGUUAUACUCUAUGAAUGUCUUCACAUGUAUGAUCUUAGAAUAGGUCAGUUGGAAGGGACGUACAAUGAUUAUCUAGUCCUACUGCAAUCUUGAAAACAGCCUUAAAUAUAAAAACCAAAGAAACUCCCCAAAACCAACACGCUGCCAAACAUGUAGCUGCUUCACCACUGAACUAGCAAAGCUUCAUGAUUCCAUUGGGUUUCUCCUUUGGCCAGUCCUACAUGUCUUCCAGAAGUCCUCGAUGGACUCAGGCAAGUGUUCAUUCAGCAUAGCCUGUUCCUAAAACACAGUGGCUACCGACAACUUCCAAAGCAUCCUAUCUGUGACUCCUAAACAUCGCUCUGACCUGGGAGGAAAGCAACUCUCAGUUUGCAUACUGGUUCAAACCACAGGCAUCCACUGCAAUAUCCUGCUUCCAAUAUUGUUAUACACUCCAAAAUAAAAAUCAACAAGUUGAGAAUCAUAGCAAUGCUACUGUUCCCUUGCAAAGCAGUUUACAGUGCUUUAUCACCACAAAUCUCCUGUAAUACUUUAAGCCUGUAACAGAAAUCUGACUAAUCAAAAACACUUGUUAUAAUCAAAAGCACUUUUGUGAUGGGAAACCAAAAGCACACUCCAACCAAAAGCAAGACACUUAUUAAAAAUAUAUAUAUAAUUAGGUCACUGUUCUGGAAUUCCACCCCGUAUUUUGGAAACAGUGACCAAACUGAUAUGCCACCAUCUUCCCAUCUGCUGAUUAACUAAAUUUAUGUUUCACUUGUAACUACUUUGAUUUACUAAUUCAGGUAGUUUCCAAAAUGGCAGUCAGAACUGACUUACAUAUGAUUAAUUCUUAAUUAUUGUAAUUUUAAUCUAAAAUAAGGUUAUUUUGCAGCCUACCAAUUGACUCAAAUACGAUUGUCUGAGUUCCACAGUCUGGUUAACGUACAUGGUCUUUAUUUCAGCAUGGCUUGGCUGAAAUCACUUAGCAGCUAUUUGAAGACACUUAAAUAUGUGCUAUGUCACAGGAACAACAAAACAACUUACAAAUAUCUUUGACGUGGGAAGGUGGAAUAAACACCAUAGAAGUUGAUGUAAGAGAAGGCACAAUAUUUAAAAUUACAUCUUUGUUUAUAAUUUCUAAAAGGAAAUGUCAUAUUUACUUUUUAAAUUUCAUUUUAAAAUAAAAAAAAAUUAGGAAACAGCCAACCAGCAACUGAACACAGGAAAAAAGGAUUACAUUUACUGAUUAGUAUUUCAACUUGGCUUCUCCUGUAAUAUUUCCUGAUCACUUCACUAAUAAGAAAUAUAUUCUCUAAUCAUGCCUGUAAAAUGAAGUAGGUUAAACUGAAUUUCAUAAAUUAAACAAGUUAUUUGGAUAUUCUUACAAAUAGACAUUAAGAGUUCUGAAUUGAACUAUUCAUGACAUUGCUUAAUACUUACAGCAUGCAGCUUCUACAAUAUCAUUUCUACCUAAGGAAUGCAUGGAGAAAACACAUUAAAAUAAAAUAGAAAAUUUUGAAGAACUGAAGCAAUUGCUCUUCCCAACAAGAAAUAUAACUAACAUCUGUUGCAGAACCUGCUUGGCACAUAUACAGUUUUGUGAAGGAUUUUUGUUGUAGAUAAAUAUUUUUCUACAAUUCCUAUUAUGCACCACUCAACUCAGACAUUUACUUUAAUUAUACUCCAAGGGGUCCUUUCAUAUCCAUUAAAGAAAGGCAAUUUGUUGCCUAAAAGAAUGCAUACAUGCUUCUAAAUUUCAACUGUGAUUCAUCUGUCUUCUGACAUGUGAAAAAGCAAGGAAAUACCUAUAAUUAAUGGACUUAUAUCUGAAAAAAUGUCUAAUAAAACUCUCAAUGCUCAACACAUUAUUUUGUUAAAGCCUUAAAUACGCUUUUCUUGAAAUAAGGAAUGGUCUUAUGAUUCAGCGUUUUACUUUCAUUUCACAUCUCAAUAAAAAGAAUAACAGCACAGUAAAGCCUUUAGGAAAGCAAGAAAUUUCUAUUUUAACAUUGGCAAAACUGACCAAAUAAGGCUCCCAUUUUGCAUACACAUCAAACACAAGGCAUCCUUUUUUCAGGGACAAAGUAACAACCAUGUGACAUUUUCCCUCCUUUUUCUUUUUUUUUUGUAAUUUUGUUUUCCACUAUUCCUAAGUAAAGAAUCUGAAAAACACACACUAAGCUCUUGAUACAGGUUUGGUUUGGGGUUUUUUGUUGGGUGGGGGUUUUUUUGGUGAAAAUAUGUGUAAGCUGUGCACAUUUAACAAAAUUUUGUAUUCAGCAUUUCACACAGACUCAAAGUAGCAAUAUCAAGACUUGUCUGCUAUGAUAAUACAUUGGAAGUUUUUUGGGUUUUUUUUUGAAAGAGAAUGCAGUAGAAACAUAGUUAAAUGCUACUGUAAGCAUAUAAAGAUGUACUCUACUGAGAUAUCAAGCAAUUGGUAAUUAUGGAUGAGGAGAAAAUGAGGGUACUGGCAAUAAAAGAGAAGAAACGCUAACUCUAAAUACACAAAAGAUUCAGCUCAGGUCCAAAAGUCUAUCAACAUGGGCUCAAGUGGAGAACGAAGAGUUACAUGUAUAAUCUGCUGUAAAGCAAACUAACUGGCAUUGUAUUCACUAUUCUUAUGAAACUGGUUAAGGAACAGUUCUUAAAUUAUAUUUACAGUCAAAAUCCUCAAUUAACUUUAAACCAAAUUUGGACAUUUUAAGAAGCUAAAAAGUAGUUAAAUAAAAAAUACUUAAAUAAUGUGAAAAGGCAUUUCUGUUGAUAGAAAGUAUAAUCUGUAUUG